This 378-nucleotide ribosomal RNA is filed under the name uncultured cyanobacterium. RNAcentral describes it as "bacterial SSU rRNA". It matches the Rfam family "Bacterial small subunit ribosomal RNA", at positions 376 to 770 of the family's 1533-position model. The record is from RNAcentral. Lineage: Bacteria; Bacillati; Cyanobacteriota.
CGCAAGCCUGACGGAGCAACGCCGCGUGUGGGAAGAAGGCUCUUGGGCUGUCAACCACUUUUCUCAGGGAAGAAGCCCUGACGGUACCUGAGGAAUCAGCCUCGGCUAACUCCGUGCCAGCAGCCGCGGUAAUACGGAGGAGGCAAGCGUUAUCCGGAAUUAUUGGGCGUAAAGUGUCCGCAGGGGGCACAUCAAGUCUGCUGUUAAAGGCUGGAGCUUAACUCCGGUAGAGCAGUGGAAACUGGUGUGCUAGAGGGCGACAGGGGUAGAGGGAUUCCCAGUGUAGCGGUGAAAUGCGUAGAUAUCGGGAAGAACACCAGUGGCGAAGGCGCUCUACUGGGCCGCGACUGACGCUGAGGGACGAAAGCUAGGGGAGCG